Molecule: ribosomal RNA, 206 nt
Filed under: uncultured bacterium
Lineage: Bacteria
Description: partial 16S ribosomal RNA
Rfam family: Bacterial small subunit ribosomal RNA
Source: RNAcentral
UACCUGGGUAGUGGGGGACAACAUUCGGAAACGGAUGCUAAUACCGCAUACGCCCUACGGGGGAAAGAGGGGAUCUUCGGACCUUUCGCUAUCAGAUGAGCCUGCGUAGGAUUAGCUAGGUUGGUGGGGUAAAGGCCCACCAAGGCGACGAUCCUUAGCUGGUCUGAGAGGAUGACCAGCCACACUGGGACUGAGACACGGCCCAG